This 253-nucleotide ribosomal RNA is filed under the name uncultured bacterium. RNAcentral describes it as "partial 16S ribosomal RNA". It matches the Rfam family "Bacterial small subunit ribosomal RNA", at positions 524 to 776 of the family's 1533-position model. The record is from RNAcentral.
UACGUAGGGGGCAAGCGUUGUCCGGAAUUAUUGGGCGUAAAGCGCGUGUAGGCGGUCCGGUAAGUCGGUUGUGAAAGUCCAGGGCUCAACCCUGGGAUGCCGAUCGAUACUGCCGGACUAGAGUCCGGGAGAGGCGAGUGGAAUUCCCGGUGUAGCGGUGAAAUGCGCAGAUAUCGGGAGGAACACCAAUGGCGAAGGCAGCUCGCUGGGACGUUACUGACGCUGAGACGCGAAAGCGUGGGGAGCAAACAGG